This 715-nucleotide ribosomal RNA is filed under the name uncultured bacterium. RNAcentral's name for it is "bacterial SSU rRNA". It matches the Rfam family "Bacterial small subunit ribosomal RNA", at positions 60 to 735 of the family's 1533-position model. The record is from RNAcentral.
AGUCGAGCGAGCUUGCCUAGAUGAUUUUAGUGCUUGCACUAAAUGGAACUAGAUACAAGCGAGCGGCGGACGGGUGAGUAACACGUGGGUAACCUGCCCAAGAGACUGGGAUAACACCUGGAAACAGAUGCUAAUACCGGAUAACAACACUAGACGCAUGUCUAGAGUUUGAAAGAUGGUUCUGCUAUCACUCUUGGAUGGACCUGCGGUGCAUUAGCUAGUUGGUAAGGUAACGGCUUACCAAGGCAAUGAUGCGUAGCCGAGUUGAGAGACUGAUCGGCCACAUUGGGACUGAGACACGGCCCAAACUCCUACGGGAGGCAGCAGUAGGGAAUCUUCCACAAUGGACGAAAGUCUGAUGGAGCAACGCCGCGUGAGUGAAGAAGGGUUUCGGCUCGUAAAGCUCUGUUGGUAGUGAAGAAAGAUAGAGGUAGUAACUGGCCUUUAUUUGACGGUAAUUACUUAGAAAGUCACGGCUAACUACGUGCCAGCAGCCGCGGUAAUACGUAGGUGGCAAGCGUUGUCCGGAUUUAUUGGGCGUAAAGCGAGUGCAGGCGGUUCAAUAAGUCUGAUGUGAAAGCCUUCGGCUCAACCGGAGAAUUGCAUCAGAAACUGUUGAACUUGAGUGCAGAAGAGGAGAGUGGAACUCCAUGUGUAGCGGUGGAAUGCGUAGAUAUAUGGAAGAACACCAGUGGCGAAGGCGGCUCUCUGGUCU